GGGGUGCUCGAGUGGCGAACGGGUGAGUAACACGUGAGUAACCUGCCCUUGACUUUGGGAUAACUUCAGGAAACUGGGGCUAAUACCGGAUGGGAGCUCCUGCUGCAUGGUGGGGGUUGGAAAGUUUCGGCGGUUGGGGAUGGACUCGCGGCUUAUCAGCUUGUUGGUGGGGUAGUGGCUUACCAAGGCUUUGACGGGUAGCCGGCCUGAGAGGGUGACCGGCCACAUUGGGACUGAGAUACGGCCCAG
RNAcentral lists this ribosomal RNA (249 nucleotides) under uncultured Actinomycetales bacterium. Its description in RNAcentral is "partial 16S ribosomal RNA". It matches the Rfam family "Bacterial small subunit ribosomal RNA", at positions 84 to 334 of the family's 1533-position model. Lineage: Bacteria; Bacillati; Actinomycetota; Actinomycetes; Actinomycetales. The record is from RNAcentral.